AGCGAACGCUGGCGGCAGGCUUAACACAUGCAAGUCGAACGGGCUUCUUCGGAAGUCAGUGGCAGACGGGUGAGUAACACGUGGGAACGUGCCCUUCGGUUCGGAAUAACUCAGGGAAACUUGAGCUAAUACCGGAUACGCCCUUUUGGGGAAAGGUUGACUGCCGAAGGAUCGGCCCGCGUCUGAUUAGCUUGUUGGUGGGGUAACGGCCUACCAAGGCGACGAUCAGUAGCUGGUCUGAGAGGAUGAUCAGCCACACUGGGACUGAGACACGGCCCAGACUCCUACGGGAGGCAGCAGUGGGGAAUAUUGGACAAUGGGCGCAAGCCUGAUCCAGCUAUGCCGCGUGAGUGAUGAAGGCCUUAGGGUUGUAAAGCUCUUUUGUCCGGGACGAUAAUGACGGUACCGGAAGAAUAAGCCCCGGCUAACUUCGUG
RNAcentral lists this ribosomal RNA (435 nucleotides) under uncultured bacterium. Its description in RNAcentral is "partial 16S ribosomal RNA". It matches the Rfam family "Bacterial small subunit ribosomal RNA", at positions 29 to 507 of the family's 1533-position model. The record is from RNAcentral.